Molecule: long non-coding RNA, 2871 nt
Filed under: Gossypium barbadense (sea-island cotton)
Lineage: Eukaryota; Viridiplantae; Streptophyta; Magnoliopsida; Malvales; Malvaceae
Description: long non-coding RNA (GBAR_LNC012079)
Source: RNAcentral
GCUAGGGUUUUCAAGCUUUCCAAGCUCAAUAGUAAGUCCGUUCUAGCCCCGUUUUUCAAGUUCUUUACGUUUUUGGAAUCCCGGUAACUUGAUUAAGCUUAUGCUAGCAAUAAUUCAACCUAGGGUUCGUAUUUGGAAAAAUACCCAUAGGUAAAAUUUGUGUAUUUUGGUAUUUUAUUAUAUAAUAUGAGGUUUUAAAUUAUAUUAGACAACUUGUGCUACUCGAUUUUAAGUGAAAACGAGUAAAAGGGUUUAAUCGGUAAAAAUACCUAAUAGUCAUAAGUGCAUUUAGAGUGAGAAUUUGAUGUUGUCAUAGAAGGGAAAAAUGAUCAGCAUGUCAUAAAACAUAAGAAUAAGGGAUGAAGUUUAAUUCCCGAGCCUAGGGGCAAAAGUGUAAUUAUGCAAAAGUUUAGGGGCAAAAUGGUAAUUUUACCAAAGUUCGUAUUAAAUGCUAUUUUGAUGAAUGUAUGUAUUAAAUAAAUUAAUUUGAUAUUAUAGAUCAAGAGAAACGAGAUUCAAGUCGUGAUCGAGGGAAAAACAAAGUUUACAAGGAAUAGGCCCGAUUGCUAAUAUUUUGUAUCGAGGUAAGUUCGUAUGAUAAUAAUAAUGCAAUGUUAUGUUUGAAUUAUAUUUCUUACUAUUAUUGCAUAUAUUGUAUGAUUUAAUAUAUUGGAAAAGUUGAUGGAAUGGUGUUUAUGACGUAGAAAUAUGACAUGAAAGAAUGUUACAUGAAGUGCAAGAAAAUGAUGAUACAUGACAAGUGAUAUAUGAAAUAUGUGAUUUAUGUUAUGUAAAUUCUUAAAAGCUGAUUUUCUAUUUGAGUUGUGUCUUAUUAUACUAUGAAUGGACAAUUGGUACUAUGGAUAGUGAGAUCGACACUUCAAGUAAGUUCGUAUAUAAAUAAUCUAUCGAUUCUUUUUAUGUUAAUAUAUUUUGAUAUCAUAUGAAAUGUGGCUGCCUAUCAAAUGAUUAUUUGAUGUAAAUUAUGAAUUUAAAUUGAUUACGGACAAUUUAGUAAAAUGUUGAAAAGUGAGGACUUUCCCGGUUGAACCUUCGGAAUAGAAACAAUACCAAUGAGCUAUUGUGAGGUCACGUGUGUAGUACUAAGUGCAGGCUACUACGUGUACCGGAUAACUGGUCGCAUGUGUAGUACUAAGUGCAGGCUAUUAUGCGUACCAGAUAGCUUCGGCUACAAGUGUGGAAAUGAGAAAAUGUGCAGGCAAUUGUGUAUCUGUUAUUAUUCCGAUCAGUUCAACGGGAAAUUGAUUAAGUGAAAAUAAAUGUGAAAGUGAUUAUGUGAUGAACAAGUGCAAGUAUAUGUUUAUUUGAAUCUAUGAGCAAUAUGCUCGAUAUUUGAGCGAACCUCGGUAAAAUGGAAGGGAUUAAGUGAAAUUGUGCAAAAGUAAACUUUAGUAGUAAAACAAUGUUGGACAGCAACAGUGCAUGAAUUUGAAAAUUUACCAAAAAUUGUGUAAGUUGAAUUAAAUUUCAAAUAAAAUAUGUAAUUAAAUUUUAUUGAGUCUAUUUUCAAAUAAAAGAAACAGGGGAAGCAAAAGAAUUCCAUAUUAUGUGAUAUUUGAAUUCUUGUGAGAUAGUGUCUGAAUGAAUUCGAGAUCCCCUAUUCUGACUUGGAAAAAUUGUUAAAAAUUAUAGAAAAAUAAUUUUGGGGUAUAAUUUAUAUUCCUAGAAUCUUGGAUGAGUCUACUUUUAAUUAAAACAAACAAGAACAUCAUCCGAGUUUUGUACUAUGAGAUAAAUAAAUUUUAGUGAAGAAAGGUCGAAGCUGUUAAACAGCAAAACAGGGGAGAUUUUGAAUAAUAAACUGUACUUAUUGGCUGGACUAAAAAUUUUGAAAAUUUUAUGGUGGAAAUAUAUAUGAGUCUAGUUUUUUUGAAAAUUUACGGAUCUUAAUUUGGAGUUCCGUAACUCUGAAUAUAAAUGAUUUAGUGACUAUUACUCAAGAAAACAGCUUAACCAGAACAUGUGUAAAUGUACAAAUGAGGUAGUUUUAUUGUGGGAAGCAUGUUAGUAAAUUGCUUAUUAUUAUUUCAUGUGAGCUUACUAAGCAUAAAGCUUACCCCCCUCCUUUCCAUUUCUUUUAGUGUUGUCAGGUUAGCUCAGGGUUGGAGACCGUCGGAGGCAGCAUCACACUAUCAAGCCAACACCUUGACAGUAUAAACACAUAUGCUAGAUUUAUCAAGUGAGUGGCAUGUAUAGGGACCUAAUUUUAUAACAUGUGUUAUUAUUAUUUGGCCAAAUAUAUUGGUCUUUAGUGAGCUAAUGAUUCUGACUUAUAAAUCUAGCUAUUUAUGUUAUGUUUGAUAUUGGUGAUGUGCAUAUGCUUGGUUGUCAUGCAUGGUUGGUAAUAAGUUGUUUAAGUUGUUUAGUUGAUGAAUUAAGUUUAGAAACACUUCGUGCUUGACUCCGGCAAUGGUCUCGGGUACGGGGGCGUUACAUGUGACAUGUGGAGGAAGUAUUCUGUGAGGCGAUAUCUCGCUAAUAUACUGGCAGCACAGUUGCGAUUUUUCUAAAAAGUGUCGUAUGAACACUAUGUGGUGUGUAUGGCUGGGUGGGUGUUUUAUAUCCACGUGGUAUGUUGGGAUGGUCGGAGUUGGUGUGUAAAGGAUGGGGGUAGGACUAUGCAUAUCUAUAUCUGUUUGAUUCUGUUUAAAAUCUGAUUUUGUAAAAGGGAUUUAUGUUUGCAUCUGUUCUGUCAUGUGAUUGAAUUUAAAAUUAUAUUUCUGAUGAGUUACACACUGAGUUUCAUGACUGACUCUUUGUUUGUUCGAUCUGUUCAGGUAACCCUCAGACUUAGGAGGGUCUGUGCGACAGAAGCCCAGUGGUAACCACAUUUCCGUAUAAAUUUCAUGC